RNAcentral lists this ribosomal RNA (466 nucleotides) under Helicopsyche borealis. Its description in RNAcentral is "partial 16S ribosomal RNA". The record is from RNAcentral. Lineage: Eukaryota; Metazoa; Arthropoda; Insecta; Trichoptera; Helicopsychidae.
GUCUUUUUGAAGUUAAAUUUAAAGUCUAACCUGCCCACUGAAUUAUAUUUUAAGGGCCGCAGUUAAAUUGUGCAAAGGUAGCAUAAUCAGUAGAUUUUUGAUUGGAAUCUAGAAUGAAUGGUUGAACGAAAUAUAAAUUUUUUUAAUUAUAAAUAGUAAAAAUUUUUUUUUCUAUAAAAAAAUAGAAAUAAGUUAAAAAGACGAGAAGACCCUAUAGAGUUUUAUUUAGAAUUAUUUUUUAUUAAAAAGUAAUUUUAAAUUAUAUUGGGGUGAUAAAAAAAUUUAAUAAACUUUUUUAGUAAAAAAUCAAUUAUUUUUGAAUUUUAUUUAUCUAUUGUAAUAAAUUUAUAUUUAAUUACCUUAGGGAUAACAGCGUAAUUUUUAUUUUAAGUUCUUAUUGAAAUAAAAGAUUGCGACCUCGAUGUUGGAUUAAAAUUAAUAUUAAAUGCAGUAGUUUAAUUAUAAG